Molecule: ribosomal RNA, 498 nt
Filed under: uncultured bacterium
Lineage: Bacteria
Description: partial 16S ribosomal RNA
Rfam family: Bacterial small subunit ribosomal RNA
Source: RNAcentral
GGAUGAACGCUGGCGGCGUGCCUAAUACAUGCAAGUCGAGCGAACGGACGAGAAGCUUGCUUUUCUGAUGUUCGCGGCGGACGGGUGAGUAACACGUGGAUAACCUACCUAUAAGACUGGGAUAACUUCGGGAAACCGGAGCUAAUACCGGAUAAUAUUUUGAACCGCAUGGUUCAAAAGUGAAAGACGGUCUUGCUGUCACUUAUAGAUGGAUCCGCGCUGCAUUAGCUAGUUGGUAAGGUAACGGCUUACCAAGGCAACGAUGCAUAGCCGACCUGAGAGGGUGAUCGGCCACACUGGAACUGAGACACGGUCCAGACUCCUACGGGAGGCAGCAGUAGGGAAUCUUCCGCAAUGGGCGAAAGCCUGACGGAGCAACGCCGCGUGAGUGAUGAAGGUCUUCGGAUCGUAAAACUCUGUUAUUAGGGAAGAACAUAUGUGUAAGUAACUGUGCACAUCUUGACGGUACCUAAUCAGAAAGCCACGGCUAACUACGUG